Long non-coding RNA from Dreissena polymorpha, 1614 nucleotides. RefSeq lists it as uncharacterized. The record is from RefSeq and is a predicted model, not a curated record. The transcript is spliced from 4 exons. NCBI's taxonomy places the organism in Eukaryota, Metazoa, Mollusca, Bivalvia, Myida, Dreissenidae.
AAACCUUGCGUUGAUACAUAUAUUCAGGCUGGUAUGGAGCUACGCUGGUCGCAUGUAGCAAAGACCCAUUUUUGCACAACGCCGCUAAAUGUUGGCAAACAUAAAUUUUACUUAUUUCUACAACAGGGAUAUGCAUAUUCUUGGAACUCAUCAUUUGCACAAAAGUGUUUUGUUACCUCCGCGCAGAGAUUUGACUGGAACGAGCAUGGAGAUUGAGUGUUUUGUUGUUUUAUCCAAUAUGAAUUCUGGGCAAAUACACAUUUGAACGAUUUUGAAGGAAGUGAAUUAUCAUUUUUUCUGUUCAUUCUUCAUCGGCACCAAAUUGUUUGUUUAAAGCAAUGUACAUUCUUUGCCGACUCUCAUUUAACUGGUUCGUACGGUUAAUUGUACGCAUGUGUUGCAUUCUUCGUGUGCAUAACGGUAAACCGACUAACAUAACAUAAAGCUUGGGAUCCCAGAAAUGCGACUAAAUUUAGCGACGGGAUUCAAGGAAGGGAAAAACCCUCGGUCAGCAGCAGGAGCGAGCGCGUCGCGACCGAGGCGAGAGUCGCCCGCAGAAGAUUUUCUCACCUGUACAUAUCACACCGUAUUACGCGUCACGUCGAUGGCAGAAUGUUCCGUCGAUGACAGAUAGCUUUACUCGACCGCGUAAACAGAGUUUAUCAAAAUGGGCACCAGUUUUGCAACCUCCGCGCAGAGAUUUGACUGAAACCAGCAAAGCUGGAUCCAAUUGAAUGUGAGAGCAAGGAACGACAACUCUGCAGUGUGAUUGGAAUUCAAGGGAAGGAGUCAAUGAGCUCACAUGUCGUGGACAAACAGGAUAAAGGAACAUGAGAAGACUCUAAGAUACAAAGCGAUGGAAGGGCCGCACCACCAUCCCAGUCCAAUCGUGCCCAACCAGAUUAUUCUACUCUAAUGCCUAAACCAAAACCAUCUCCAGAGCUUCCCAGCCCACCGAAUAGUACCGAAUAGUACCGAAUAGUACCGUCCGAAUCGCGGAGAACACGCUGAUAUUGAUGUGCAAAUUUGUGAAUUAUUUGAUUUGAUCAUGGCUACAUGGUGCAUUUUCUUGUCAUAGUAACGCAUAAAAUCAAGUGUCAUAGCAUUUUAAGUUCUGAUGAAACUUUGUGAAUGAAUAUUUUAACGUUAAGAAGCGACGAGGAAGACCAUCUUUACGGUAUCGUAACCUUUUAAACAAAUAUCCAUCAACCGUAGAUGAAAUGCAUGGUGCAUACUAUAUGGUUAUUAGUGGUAAUCUAAGUGAAACAAAUCAUGGCAUAAUAGUUUAAAAUGUAAUAAAGGAAUUAACGUUUCAUUGGACACAUGUUGAACCAUCAUUAAACGUUGUAUACACAGACAAUGUGCAUCAUCAUCUUUUACCUGAAAACAAGCUGAAAAAAUGCAUGAACAGAUAACACAUUUUCCUAGUAUUGUCGGUGUGUUUAAUAAGUUUCGACAUUAAAUGUUUCGGACAGAUUACAAGUCGAAAGUUCUAGUCUAUGUUGUGAUGAUAUGUAUGUCCAACUUAUUUUCGCUACAUCUUAGUUUUUGGAAACAUUAAACUGUCAGUGAAUGCAUCUUUCUAAAUCAACAAUACAUAUUUUCCAACCAUCA